Molecule: ribosomal RNA, 514 nt
Filed under: uncultured bacterium
Lineage: Bacteria
Description: bacterial SSU rRNA
Rfam family: Bacterial small subunit ribosomal RNA
Source: RNAcentral
GAUCUUGGUCAGGAUGAACGCUAGCUACAGGCUUAACACAUGCAAGUCGAGGGGCAGCAUGAUCUGUGCUUGCACAGAUUGAUGGCGACCGGCGCACGGGUGAGUAACGCGUAUCCAACCUUCCCCUUAGUAGGGCAUAGCCCGGCGAAAGUCGGAUUAAUACCCUAUGUUUUCCAAUGAGGACAUCUGAGCUGGAAUAAAGAUUUAUCGCUAAGGGAUGGGGAUGCGUCCGAUUAGGUUGUUGGCGGGGUAACGGCCCACCAAGCCCUCGAUCGGUAGGGGUUCUGAGAGGAAGGUCCCCCACACUGGUACUGAGACACGGACCAGACUCCUACGGGAGGCAGCAGUGAGGAAUAUUGGUCAAUGGGCGAGAGCCUGAACCAGCCAAGUAAGCGUGCAGGAUGACGGCCCUAUGGGUUGUAAACUGCUUUUAUACGGGGAUAAAGUGAGGGACGUGUCCCUUAUUGUAGGUACCGUAUGAAUAAGGACCGGCUAAUUCCGUGCCAGCAGCGGC